GACGAACGCUGGCGGCGUGCUUAACACAUGCAAGUCGAACGCUGAAGCUCAGCUUUUGUUGGGUGGAUGAGUGGCGAACGGGUGAGUAACACGUGAGUAACCUGCCCCCUUCUUUGGGAUAACGCCCGGAAACGGGUGCUAAUACUGGAUAUUCACUGGUCUUCGCAUGGGGGUUGGUGGAAAGGGUUUUUCUGGUGGGGGAUGGGCUCGCGGCCUAUCAGCUUGUUGGUGGGGUGAUGGCUUACCAAGGCUUUGACGGGUAGCCGGCCUGAGAGGGUGACCGGUCACAUUGGGACUGAGAUACGGCCCAGACUCCUACGGGAGGCAGCAGUGGGGAAUAUUGCACAAUGGGCGCAAGCCUGAUGCAGCGACGCCGCGUGAGGGAUGGAGGCCUUCGGGUUGUGAACCUCUUUCGCUCAUGGUCAAGCCGCAACAAUGGUUGUGGUGAGGGUAGUGGGUAAAGAAGCGCCGGCUAACUACGUG
Molecule: ribosomal RNA, 483 nt
Filed under: uncultured bacterium
Lineage: Bacteria
Description: partial 16S ribosomal RNA
Rfam family: Bacterial small subunit ribosomal RNA
Source: RNAcentral